CAGAAAAUAGUUUAAUUAGAACAUAAAUUUUGGAGAUUUAAAGAGAUUUAAUCUUUUCUGA
RNAcentral lists this transfer RNA (61 nucleotides) under Macrocheles nataliae. RNAcentral's name for it is "tRNA-Pro". Lineage: Eukaryota; Metazoa; Arthropoda; Arachnida; Mesostigmata; Macrochelidae. The record is from RNAcentral.